CGCUGCCCGGUGCAGUCGCCGAGCGGCGCCGCGCUUUCUAUGAGGGCCCGUCGCUUGCUGGUCCUACCCGCGCUCUCCGCCCUUGCACUGGCCCGGCGGCUGGCGCGAGCCGACGUCGCCUUGGUCUCGCCCUCCGCGAAGGCGGCCCGACCUGGCCUUCACAGGCGCUUUUGCCCACUAAGGUCAUAGAGGGGCUUGAGGCGUCACCGGCCCUUCUCAGAGGCCCUCGCUACACCCGCUCCAUUACCCUAAUUUCUCUGGACUCCAGGGAUGCUCUGGGGACAGGAUAGACGCGGUCCCUGCAGCCACGAAACCCCCUGCUUGCAAAUCGUUGGAAUUGAGAAUCUCAAAGCAAAGUAGAGAAAGAACUACAACACGUGAUCAUUGCUAUGAGCGAAACAUGAUUACGUAGAGAGAAAAGCCCAUUUUAGGUGUAUGCUGGGCAAAUCACUCUACCUGAUGGGAUCCCCGCACAGGACCUGUCAUUUCCCUGCCUGGACGCUGCUGUGAAGACUCAGGAUGGACUAAAUGGAACCCACGGAUUCCUAGACGCUGCUCCCAGGAACCUUUGGGCUAUUUGGGGUGAACAUUUGCAGUGUUUGAACUUAUGGUCCCUCUCCCGCUUUCCACAGACAACGUUGCCAGACAUAUUAUGGUUCCAUAAAUAUUUGAGCAACUUUUAAUAUGUCGAAAUCUUCAGAUUCAGAGACAGGAAGAAGAACAGCGCCCAGCUGCUCCCAGCCUCCAACCCUGGCGGAACUCAGCAAGCCUGUGCAGGGGGCUGGCAGGUGUAAAAGGCACUCUUACCGUUGAGGAUUCGUCAGGAUUUCCUUCCAGCUCACAUUCUGCAAUAGAUUUAAAUGCUUAAAAUGCUUUCACAGCCCCUCAUCACCUAUACGGUGAAAUUCAAGUUCCUUAGCACAAUCUAGAAGCCCCUUCGUGGUUUGGAGGUGGCCUAACUGAUCAGGUUCAACCGCCUCUCCUUCUUGCCUGGAACUUGCGAAUUCAGAGCAUUUGUGGGUCCCAGUUGUUUCAUGUUUUUCCUAAAAUGUCUUUCUCUCCCAGCUAACUAUUAUUUAUUUAUUUAUUUUCAGCUAUCCUUUAGACUUUAGUCCGGUCCUUCGGAAAUACCUGCUCUUCCUGCUGGGUCACACAACCUUGCAUCAGAGUGCCGAUGUGUAACACGUUGCUAGGGUCGUCUGAACAAUUUCCAUGCUGCCUUGUCAUUACUGACAGAUAGGCCUGUCUCCUCCGGCCCAGUGUGGUGAUUAAGAGGUUUCUAGGGAUUCUAGAACAGAUGAGUUUGCAGCAUGGCUCCGCAUUCUGGAUCUGGGGCUGCUUCUAUAACCUUCUCACAGCUCGUCUGUAAAGCAGGGGGUGAUACUGCUAUGGGCAUUGUAUGGGGAUGGAACUUAAACAUAAAUGUUACAUAAGGUAACAUAACAACUGAUGGUCAUGUGAGCCAAGCCCUGUUCUAAGUAUGUUAAGUGAUUUAACUCUUUUGAUCUUCACAACCACCCUGUGAAAGUGUUAUCAACAUUCUUAUUGUGGAAAUGAGGAACCCCAGUCACAGAGGACACCGAGUGACUUUCUAGGGUCACCCUGCCCGGCUAGGAAUGGUGCCUGAACCCAAGCUGUCAGAUUGCAGCGAUCACACCGUGCUAUGGUGGCCCUCAGGAGGAACCCUGGAAACGCCACCUUCUUCAUCAACGAGGGCAGGUCCCGGGCCAUUGUCCAACGCACAGAGGAAACGUAAGUGCUCACAUAGCUGUGGACCUAGCAUGACCUUCCCAUCUCCCCGGCCCUUGCACUUCAACUUCUAGCAGGCCAUCUGCUUCCAGGGGAGCUGAGAUCCCUCCCCUAUCCCAGAAUGUUGCCUCUUGAUCACUGUUGGUGCACAGACGUCUUGCUGAAGGUUCGUAGGGAAGUUGGUUCACCCAGCACUUAGUCACUGCGCACAGACUGAAGGCACAUCCUGAAUGGUGAAAAUUGGAAUUCCUGUGGCUUCCCGCACAGUGGAGCGUCCCAAAGAGCCCCCUGACCUGGGACAGGCGGGCCCUGGCUGGUGCUCAGAAAUAAUCUGCCACUUCUC
Suricata suricatta (meerkat) is the source of this 2092-nucleotide long non-coding RNA. RefSeq lists it as uncharacterized. Lineage: Eukaryota; Metazoa; Chordata; Mammalia; Carnivora; Herpestidae. The record is from RefSeq and is a predicted model, not a curated record. The transcript is spliced from 2 exons.